Molecule: long non-coding RNA, 596 nt
Filed under: Oryza sativa (Asian cultivated rice)
Lineage: Eukaryota; Viridiplantae; Streptophyta; Magnoliopsida; Poales; Poaceae
Description: long non-coding RNA (OSAT_LNC000845)
Source: RNAcentral
UUAUUUCCUACUGCAACAAGAGUCAAUGGCAGAUACUUGCCCCCUCAUUUAUCUCUUGAGAAGGGGUAUUGAUUAUCAUGAUCCAUCUAAUUAUGUUGAGCAUUAUCCAUUGAUACCCAUUGGGAAAAUUAACUAGACUACUAGCAUUAGCUAGUGUGUGAAAGAUCUCUACUCAAUGCUAUUGUGAACAUCUCUCUUUUAGGCUUUUAAUUAGCCAUCUAACCUGUUAGUAAUGAUUAAGUACAUCGCUUUAUUCAGAGGAAAUGAGGCAGGACCACCGACAUUGAUCAGUUCUCUUUUUUAGGGGAUACAACACUGAUCAGUUCUGGCACUUCAAUUCAUGGCUACAUCAAUCUGCGAUGUACCUUUCUGCUUCUGUCGUACGUGUUUAACAUUUUCUUUUACAUCCACAAUCUAUGUGCUAUGACACCCUAAGGACUACUGUGGUAAUCAGGAGCCUCGCGAGGAAUCUUUCUUGUGCGCAGUGAUGGUCAUGGUUUCUCUUGGCUUUUCAUAUGAUCAUAAAGCAAUACAAGACAUAUAUCUUCAUUUUCUUCAAAAACCAAGGAUUAGCAUAUGAUAAUGGUUAGUAAAUG